UUGAAAAGAGAGUUAAACAGCACGUGAAAUUGUUGAAAGGGAAGCGCUUGGGACCAGACUCGCCCGCGGGGUUCAGCCGGCAUUCGUGCCGGUGUACUUCCCCGUGGGCGGGCCAGCGUCGGUUUGGGCGGCCGGUCAAAGGCCCCUGGAAUGUAGUACCCUCCGGGGUACCUUAUAGCCAGGGGUGCAAUGCGGCCAGCCUGGACCGAGGAACGCGCUUCGGCACGGACGCUGGCAUAAUGGUCGUAAACGACCCGUCUUGAAACACGGACCAAGACGCGGGUCGUCGACGAUUAUGCUGCCGUCCGGGCC
RNAcentral lists this ribosomal RNA (312 nucleotides) under Aspergillus niger. Its description in RNAcentral is "partial 18S ribosomal RNA". It matches the Rfam family "Eukaryotic large subunit ribosomal RNA", at positions 376 to 709 of the family's 3401-position model. Lineage: Eukaryota; Fungi; Ascomycota; Eurotiomycetes; Eurotiales; Aspergillaceae. The record is from RNAcentral.